RNAcentral lists this ribosomal RNA (412 nucleotides) under Shigella sonnei. Its description in RNAcentral is "partial 23S ribosomal RNA". It matches the Rfam family "Bacterial large subunit ribosomal RNA", at positions 127 to 579 of the family's 2925-position model. Lineage: Bacteria; Pseudomonadati; Pseudomonadota; Gammaproteobacteria; Enterobacterales; Enterobacteriaceae. The record is from RNAcentral.
CCCAGUGUGAUUCGUCACACUAUCAUUAACUGAAUCCAUAGGUUAAUGAGGCGAACCGGGGGAACUGAAACAUCUAAGUACCCCGAGGAAAAGAAAUCAACCGAGAUUCCCCCAGUAGCGGCGAGCGAACGGGGAGCAGCCCAGAGCCUGAAUCAGUGUGUGUGUUAGUGGAAGCGUCUGGAAAGGCGCGCGAUACAGGGUGACAGCCCCGUACACAAAAAUGCACAUAUUGUGAGCUCGAUGAGUAGGGCGGGACACGUGGUAUCCUGUCUGAAUAUGGGGGGCCCAUCCUCCAAGGCUAAAUACUCCUGACUGACCGAUAGUGAACCAGUACCGUGAGGGAAAGGCGAAAAGAACCCCGGCGAGGGGAGUGAAAAAGAACCUGAAACCGUGUACGUACAAGCAGUGGGAG